Molecule: long non-coding RNA, 1469 nt
Organism: Nilaparvata lugens (brown planthopper)
Lineage: Eukaryota; Metazoa; Arthropoda; Insecta; Hemiptera; Delphacidae
Exons: 3
Source: RefSeq, a predicted model, not a curated record
AACAUGUGACUGAUUUGAAAGUUAGGUUAUGUAAUCCAUAAUCAGCUAGCCGGCGUGUUGUGAUAGUAAUUUAAUUAUCCAGUUAGUUAUUUAUAAUUCCAAUAUUUCAAUGGUAUUCCUGUUUUUAAAGAACAGAGCACAAGAAUCCAGAAUGACCAGUUAGAAGGAAGGCCGAUAGGAAUUCCAGUCAAUUCAUCCAUCUAAUCUGCGCGUCAGCUGAGAAUUACCAUAAACAUUAUCGGCCUCUCAUUGAAAAAUGUCUGGGAUACGAUCAUCGUCUUAAAUUCUGUUACGGGGGAAAAUGAAAUUUCUGUAACUUUCUUCCUGUUUGUGGAAUAUCCCCGAGCGUUUUUUGAGAAGUGACAAAGGGAUUGUUCGUCCAAUCAGCAGGAAGUAAUCCAUCUGACCGAAAUACGAAGGACAUUGUCCGCAGGUGUACACCAACACAGCGGGAUCUCACACUAACAACAAUAGCCUUGAGAAUGGAUUUCGCAAUAGUGGUAGCAGGCUAGCAAAUAUCGGCAGAUGUCUUAAAAAUUGCCAGAAGUUUGAUGGUCCCAAAUCCACAUUGAACAAACACAUUGACUGCAUGUUUUUGUCAAAUACGGGAGAAUAGAAUCGAAACAAACAUUUUGGACCAAGUAAAGUCAACAAUGUUGUACAUUCCAGGAUUUUUCCUGAGUUAUCACUGUCAUGAAUAAAUUGAGAAGUGUGAGAUUGUGUGAAAAUCUCACACCAGUCAAAACCUGAUUUAGCGUUUUUGUUCCAUAAUUUGAGUAUUUUAAUGAAAUGACUUCUUCAUUGUAAGUUAAGUUUAACCCCAAAAAAUAAAUGUUUUUUGUGUUACAUUUUGAAUACUUGAUUAAUUUUAUAAUAAAAUCCAAUUCUUUUCUGCUGGAUAUAAUAUUAUAUUAUGAAGGGUCAAUUGAAUAAUAUUACCAUAGAGAAACAAUAGCGUAAGUAGAUAUCCCAUGGUAUAGGGCGUUUAUGUCGUAACUUUUACUGUUAUCUCAAGCUGAUAGUCCACGUAGUUCUUUCCUGUGAAGCUUUAUGACGCUGGUAGUCUCUCAUAUUGUGCCGUUCAUACACUCUUACCCGGUCAAAACAGUAAAAAUCUACAAUAAUUGACAGUAAUCGGCUUGAGAUAACAGUAAAAGUUGCGACAUAAACGCCCUAUACCAUGGGAUAUCUACUUACGCUAUUGUUUCUCUAUGAUAUUACUCAUAUGCUUAGAACAGAAAAUUCAACAAAUAAUUUAUUCUCCUGAUGUUUGGUAUUCUAGGUCAUUGUCAUUCAAGUAUGCAUCAUAUUUUGUAAAUCAAAUUUAUAAGUGUUGUUAUGCAAGAAGUACAUUGUAUUGUAAACAACCCUUCUCGCACACUGACUAGUUUCUCGGUGAGGUGUAUUAUUCUAUAAUUAUUGUUUAUAUUUAAGUAUUUUUUGUAAAUAAAUGUUUGUUGAGAAUAAAA